This is a small nuclear RNA of Globicephala melas (long-finned pilot whale), 108 nucleotides long. The record is from RefSeq and is a predicted model, not a curated record. NCBI's taxonomy places the organism in Eukaryota, Metazoa, Chordata, Mammalia, Artiodactyla, Delphinidae.
GAGUUCUGCUUCAGCAACACAUAUACUAAAAUUGGAACACCACAGAGAAGAUUAGCACGGCCUUUGUGCAAGGAUGAUAUGCAAAUUCAUAAAGCAUUCCAUAUUCUU